CGCACGUUGCUUGAGAAGCAAACUUGAAAGAUCUGACGCACUGUGGGGAUCGAUGGCAUAUAAUGCGAAGAAGCCAGCAAGACGUUUAUAAUGUUGUACAUAACAUGUGAAAGCCGUCCCGUGGGUCUCACGCUUGAUGAGGCCGCAUGAACAAAAAUCACGCCCGGGCCAGAAGUGCUAGUGCGAUGAUUCCACCGACUGCUGUGAAGGUGCUCCGGUUCCACUAUUGUUGGCUACCACGAAGCACUUGGAUGGGCCUCGUGGGGACGUCAAUCAUUAUGAAAUGCCUUCUUCGUGGUUCAGGCCCGAAAAUUAUCUACAAGAUGAGUUUGUCUGCUGCAGCAAACGCCCGGCCCAAGACACGCAAUAUACCCGGGAAAGGCUGUGAAUAAUUCAGAGCCUCUGCGUUUCAAUUAGGAUGCAAACAUUAUCAAGAAACAUUUUCAAUAUUGGCGGCGAAUAAGUAGGGAGGACAUUGAUAGAACCAAACUAGUUAGAAGCGUACAUAAUAGCACUAAUAACAGUCGUGUGUAUCGUGAAAUAAAUGAAAAU
Molecule: long non-coding RNA, 552 nt
Organism: Rhipicephalus microplus (southern cattle tick)
Lineage: Eukaryota; Metazoa; Arthropoda; Arachnida; Ixodida; Ixodidae
Source: RefSeq, a predicted model, not a curated record